AAAUUGAAGAGUUUGAUCAUGGCUCAGAUUGAACGCUGGCGGCAGGCCUAACACAUGCAAGUCGAACGGUAACAGGAAGCAGCUUGCUGCUUCGCUGACGAGUGGCGGACGGGUGAGUAAUGUCUGGGAAACUGCCUGAUGGAGAGGGAUAACUACUGGAAACGGUGGCUAAUACCGCAUAACGUCGCAAGACCAAAGAGGGGGACCUUCGGGCCUCUUGCCAUCAGAUGUGCCCAGAUGGGAUUA
RNAcentral lists this ribosomal RNA (246 nucleotides) under Salmonella enterica. Its description in RNAcentral is "partial 16S ribosomal RNA". It matches the Rfam family "Bacterial small subunit ribosomal RNA", at positions 1 to 243 of the family's 1533-position model. The record is from RNAcentral. Lineage: Bacteria; Pseudomonadati; Pseudomonadota; Gammaproteobacteria; Enterobacterales; Enterobacteriaceae.